CUGAAUUUGAAGUGUGAAGCCGUUUAGUGGAUAACUUGGCUCAGGUUCCGAUGAAGGACGUGGCAAGCUGCGAUAAGCCUUGGCGAGACGCAUGCAGUCAUUAAACCAGGGAUGUCUGAAUUUUUCACGUAAGUGAAAGGGAACACAGGGAAAUGAAAUAUCUUAGUACCUGUAGGAAAAGAAAUCAAUCGAGAUAAUGUUAUUAGGGUCGACCGAACACAUUAGAGAACAAACUGAAUCCGUUUGCGUAAGUAAAUGGAGAUGUGGUGUGAUAGAACUAUCUUACAACCAAGAAUGCGAGUUGAAGUGAACUGGAAUGUUCUUCCAAAGAGAGUGAGAGACUCGUAAGCAAAGCAUUAUUGGUUGAUUGGUGGAGUUCAAGAGUAUUGCGCAUUGGAUUUUGCGUAAGAAAUCGCGGGUCAUUAACCCGCAAUCCUAAAUAUUACCUGAGACCGAUAGCAAACUAGUACCAUAAGGGAAAGUUGAAAAGCACCCUUAACAGGGGAUGAAAAGCACUUGAAACUAAACGGUCAUUGGCGGAUAAGGCUCAAAAGAAACGAGAACUUGAGAAGGAAGUAACUGCAAAGUUAUUGUACGAUUGAGUUUGAUCAGGGUCUUAUCGUCCGUCCAGAAGCACGCGCGAGGGAGUUAUUUUAUGUGGCAAGACUAAAUGCUUUAACGCAUGCAGUCGAAGGGAAACCAAGACAACGCAAUUCGCAAGAAUGAGGUUGUGGGUUUUAAAUAGCUUAAGUCACAUGGAUUAGACCCGAAUCCCGGAGAUCUAUUCCUGGGCAAGGUGAAGCCAUUCUUCCGAGUGGUGGAGGCCUGAUACAAGUGUUAGUCCUACUGCUUUGGUGACCUAGGAAUAGGAGUAAUAUGCCAUCCGAGCCGGGCGAUAGCGGGCUCCUUCCGAGUUAGCUCUUAGGCUAGCCUAGCCAGAGAAAGUUAGUGGGGUAGAGAUACUGAUUAGAAAGUAACGGUUCGAAAGUUCCGCCUUUUUUGUCAAACUCCCAAUCCAUUAUCAUCUAAGAAGGCUGGAGUAGGGGGCAGGGGGUAAGCUCCUGUUCCGAGAGGGAAACAACCCAGACAAUGGUUAAGGCCCUUAAAUGCUGAUUAAGUGUUAUCUCGAAAUGCGUCUUUUUCCUAAAACAAUUGGGAGGUUGGCUUAGAAGCAGCCAUCCUUUAAAGAAUGCGUAAUAGCUCACCAAUCUAGGGGAAAGGCCAUGAAAAUAAUCAGGGCUAAAAUCAGCUGCCGAUACCAUUGGAUACAAAUUGUUUCAAUUUGUAAUUCGAUAGGAAGGUAAAGUGAGAGAGCAGAAGCUUGUCAGAAAUGACUAGUGGAUCUCUCAGUUAAAUGGAUCCUCGCGAAAGUAAUAUCUAAGAAGAGUGAGAAUCUCUUCCGCCGAAAGGGCCAGGGUUCCUUAGCGCUAAUCAUUAGCUAAGGGUUAGUCGGUCCUAAAAUCGCUCGUAAGACGACGCGAUUGAAAGGGAAACACGUUCAUAUUCGUGUACUUCGUGAAUACGUUUUUGGCAACAAUAGUUUGUUUGCUGACGUUUUGGGCUAAGUUUUGCACACUUGUCUGUGUGUUUAACUAACAUAAAUGAAUGGAGAAACGUAACGUUGAGAAAUUCAUUAAAGUUAGGAAUAGCUGAAAAGUAAGGCUGAGGCCUGGAGCCAGUGAAAAAGCAAACAAAAAGAAUUUCAUGAAUCCGUACCAAGAUCCGAGAAAAGUGCCCCUAGCUGAGAAGGCUCAGGCGUGUCAGGAAACUUUCGUUAAGGGAAUUCGGCAAGCUAGCCCUGUAUCUUAGGUAUAAGGGGUGCCUGAAGCUGCAUAAGUUUCAGGUUGCAAUAACAAGUGGAGUCCGACUGUUUAUCAAAAACACAGCUCACUGCAACCCAGCAAUGGUUAGUAUAGUGAGUGACUUCUGCUCACUGCCAGUACGUGAAACUCGAGUUCAAUUGAGCUAAGCGCUGGUGAAGAGCGGGCCUAACUCUGAGGCUCUCACGGUAGCGUAAUACCUUGUCGGUUGAAUGCCGACUUGCACCAAGGAAGUAACGUGAUUCCAAGUGUCCCUAACGAGAACCUGAUGAAAUCGGUGCGCGGUGAAUAUUCCGCGGACUUCCAACGGGAUGAGAAGACCCCACGGAUGUUUACUACAGUCUGAUGCUGUGAUAUGAUUCUUGAUGUGCAGCGUAGAUAGGAGGCGUCGAAGCAACCCAGCAAUGGGUUGUGGAGCCAUCAAUGCAACACUAUCCUUUGAGAAUUAUAUUACUUACCUUUAUUGGGACACCAUUAGAUGGGUAGUUAGACUGGGGUGGUACACCCCUGAAAAGAUAUCAGGGGUGUCCAAAGGUGUGCUCAAGAGGGUCAGAAAUCCUCUGUAGAGAACAAAAUCAAAAGCACGCUUGACUAUGUUCUACAAAGCAAGGAACGUAGAAAGGAAACUUGGGUUUAGCGAACAUCAAUGAGUCCUUUAAUGGGACCUUGGUCUAACAGUGAACUUACCCUGGGGGUAACUGAGUCGUCGCGGGUGAGAGUUCACAUCGACCUCGCGGUUUGCUACCUCGCCGUCGUCUCUUGGUAUCCUGGUCGUGCAUAAGCGACCAAGGGUGAAGGUGUUAACUUAUUAAAACCGAACGUUAGUUGGGUUAAGAACGGUGCGAGCCAGUUUGGUUACUAUCUGUUGGAAGUGCAGUUUGCUUGAGGGGAAGAUCCGCUGAGUACGAGAGGAACGGCGGGUCGCAGCCACUAGUUUACCAGUUGUCUGACAAGGCAUUGCUGGGUAGCCACGCUGUAGCUUAUAAGAGCUGAAAGCAUCUAAGCUCGAAGAAGUCCCUAAAAAAAAGCAAACAUUGCUGACACACUGCUUUCUCCGGAUUGCAGUGAAUAGGCACAAGACUACCAGUAGAAUACUGGAUUGAUAGGUUGCAAGUGUAAGCUAAAAGCUUUCUGCGAUUAGUUCAGCUUAGCAAUACUAAAAAGUCAAGACCAAAAAAUU
This 3000-nucleotide ribosomal RNA is filed under the name archaeon. RNAcentral's name for it is "23S ribosomal RNA". It matches the Rfam family "Archaeal large subunit ribosomal RNA". The record is from RNAcentral.